RNAcentral lists this ribosomal RNA (1599 nucleotides) under Triticum aestivum (bread wheat). RNAcentral's name for it is "partial small subunit ribosomal RNA". Lineage: Eukaryota; Viridiplantae; Streptophyta; Magnoliopsida; Poales; Poaceae. The record is from RNAcentral.
AUGAGAUCCCCAUCCGGCGCCCGUCCCAGCAGCGGAGGGGGCGCAGCAGCAGACGACGACUUCGCCUUCUACUACUCUUUCUUCCAGGACGCCGCCGCCGCGUCGCCGCUCCCGCUCGCGCUCGACGGAGCCGCCAUGCCUAACAACCGCCGGAGGAAGCGCGGAGUGGACGACGACUCCGCCGCGGCGCCCAUCAAGGACGGUAGCAACAACGGAAGGAAGCGCUCCAUCGCCACCAUAAUAACUUCGCUCGCCGCGCUCGAGGCCGAGGGCCACGCCGACAGCGCGGGGGCCGCCGACGCCUCCCGCCGCGAGCUCGCGCUCCUCGAGUCCAACGCCGAUAACAAGUCGCAGGCCAUGAUGGACUACUUCGCCAAGAUGGAGGGCAGCUUCGAUGCAGACGCCGACUCCGAGGCCGCUGCGCGCUCCAAGCGCUCGCGGCUCUCGGCGUCGGCAGCGGCAGUGGCCGUCGUGGCUGGCGAGGAGGCCGCCACCAAUACUGCCGCGUCGGCCUCGCCGCCGCGUGCAGGCCACCACCAACGUCGGCUGUGGGUCAAGGACCGGUCGCAGGCGUGGUGGGACCAGUGCAAUAGCCCCGACUUCCCAGAGGCAGAGUUUCGGCGCGCCUUCAGGAUGGGCCGGGAGACGUUCGACAUGAUCUGCGAGGCGCUCGGCUCCGCGGUGGCCAAGGAGGACACCAUGCUUCGCGCGGCCAUCCCCGUGCGCCAGCGCGUCGCCGUCUGCAUCUGGCGCCUCGCCACCGGUGAACCGCUCCGCCUCGUCUCCAAGCGCUUCGGCCUCGGCAUCUCCACAUGCCACAAGCUCGUCCUCGAGGUCUGCGGUGCCAUCAAGUCCGUCCUCAUGCCGCGUUUCCUCCAGUGGCCCGACGAGGCCGCCGCCGGCAGAUUCAAGGAGGGCUUCGAGAGAUCCUUCGGUGUUCCGGGGGUCAUCGGAGCCAUGUACACCACGCACAUCCCUAUCAUCGCGCCCAAGAUCUCCGUCGCCGCCUACUUCAACCGUCGGCACACGGAGCGCAAUCAGAAGACAUCCUACUCCAUCACGCUCCAGGGGGUGGUCGGCCCUGACCGCGCCUUCACCGACGUCUGCAUCGGCUGGCCGGGCUCCAUGCCGGACGAUCAGGUGCUCGAGAAAUCCAUGCUGCACCAGCGCGCCGCGGCGGGUAUGAUGCACGACGCUUGCCUCGUCGGCGGCGCAAGCUACCCGCUCAUGGACUGGGUGCUCGUGCCGUACACGCACCAGAACCUGACAUGGACGCAGCACGCCUUCAACGAGAAGGUCGGCGACAUCCGCAACGUGGCCGUGGAGGCGUUCGCGCGGCUCAAGACGCGGUGGGCGUGCCUCCAGAAGCGCACGGAGGUGAAGCUCCAGGACCUCCCCGUGGUGCUGGGCGCCUGCUGCGUCCUGCACAACAUCUGCGAGAUGCGCCGCGAGGAGCUCGAGCCGGAGGUCCCGUUUGCGCUUGUCGACGACGAUACCACGCCGGAGACCCCUGUUCGCUCCGAGACCGCCAAGCAGGAGAGGGACAGCAUCGCGCACAACCUCCUCCACCGCGGUUUCGCCGGCACCACAUUUUUCUGA